GAGGGGCAGCGGGGGAGAAGCUUGCUUUUCCUGCCGGCGACCGGCGCACGGGUGAGUAACACGUAUGCAACCUGCCCCUGUCAGAGGGAUAAUCCGGAGAAAUCCGGUCUAAUAUCGCAUAAAGCGUUUGCGGGGCAUCCUGCGAGCGCCAAAGGAGAAAUCCGGACAGGGAUGGGCAUGCGGCGCAUUAGCUAGUUGGGGGGGUAACGGCCCACCAAGGCGACGAUGCGUAGGGGUUCUGAGAGGAAGGUCCCCCACAUUGGUACUGAGACACGGACCAAACUCCUACGGGAGGCAGCAGUGAGGAAUAUUGGUCAAUGGGCGGAAGCCUGAACCAGCCAAGUCGCGUGAGGGAAGACGGCCCUAUGGGUUGUAAACCUCUUUUGCCGGGGAGCAAAAGCGCCGUGCGCGGUGCUAUGAGAGUACCCGGAGAAAAAGCAUCGGCUAACUCCGUGCCAGCAGCCGCGGUAAUACGGAGGAUGCGAGCGUUAUCCGGAUUUAUUGGGUUUAAAGGGUGCGUAGGCGGACAGUUAAGUCAGCGGUCAAAACGGGCGGCUCAACCGCCUGCCGCCGUUGAAAACUGGCAGUCUAGAGUGGGCGAGAAGUACGCGGAAUGCGCGGUGUAGCGGUGAAAUGCAUAGAUAUUGCGCAGAACUCCGAUUGCGAAGGCAGCGUACCGGCGCCCGACUGACGCUGAGGCACGAAAGCGUGGGGAUCGAACAGGAUUAGAUACCCUGGUAGUCCACGCAGUAAACGAUGGACACUAUCUGUUCGGGUCGAGAGAGAUCUGAGUGGCACAGCGAAAGCGUUAAGUGUCCCACCUGGGGAGUACGCCGGCAACGGUGAAACUCAAAGGAAUUGACGGGGGCCCGCACAAGCGGAGGAACAUGUGGUUUAAUUCGAUGAUACGCGAGGAACCUCACCCGGGCUCAAACGCACGACGGCGGCACGUGAAAGCGUGCUUACCUACGGGACGUUGUGCGAGGUGCUGCAUGGUUGUCGUCAGCUCGUGCCGUGAGGUGUCGGCUUAAGUGCCGUAACGAGCGCAACCCCCAUCCGCAGUUACCAGCAGGUAAAGCUGGGGACUCU
RNAcentral lists this ribosomal RNA (1089 nucleotides) under uncultured bacterium. Its description in RNAcentral is "bacterial SSU rRNA". It matches the Rfam family "Bacterial small subunit ribosomal RNA", at positions 64 to 1141 of the family's 1533-position model. The record is from RNAcentral.